CAAAAUUCGAACAGGACCUGACAGAUUGUAUGCAGGAAGGACACUCCCAGUGGCUGUGUGGCCGGAAUAAGGGAAUCGCCGACUAAAGGAUGAGAGGGAAAGCAGAUAAGAGAACUUCAGAAUUCUUCUACUCAGGCAAUCCAAUGCCUUUCCAGAGAAGUAAGUGGCAAAGUUAGUUAGCCAGUGGUACUUGGCAGUAGUGUAUGGAAAAGAACAACCCUACUCCACUGAUUCUGACACCUUCUGGGAAAAUAUCAACAAUGAGACAUUGGCUACUGCGUUUCUUUUGAAGACACUGACCUGGAGUUACACGCUGACUUCAGUUCUUUGAAGGAAUGGGACCUGCUCUCGGGGUCUCAUGACUGGCCACUAUUCAAUAUACCAAGGACGUGGCCGGGAUGACUAGCACACCUUCAGGGUUCUGGGAUUUCAUGGCUCUGAAGGUGGGCGAACUUGAAGUCGGUGCCUCCGCAGGAAACUGGUGUGUUGUGGGUGUACACAGAAAAUCGAAAGCAACAAGCUGGCUGCUGGCUGUGUGCCUAGAGACUCAAGUUCUUUGGGCACAGACCUCGGAAAAAACAACGCAACAUUUAACAGCAUAAAUCAGCGAGUUGUUUGUUAUGUCUCCCCUCUUGCUGUGAAACAGGGACACCUCUUUUUCCCUUAUCAGGGAGAGAAAGAGCCUGUGGUAUGUAAAAUUACUGGGUGAACGAGUAGUCUUUGGGGUACUGCAAGUCUGUGUCUUUAUUGAUGAUUUGUUGCACGCUUAAGUGCUCGGUAGGGGGCACCGAUGCUUUUUUUGCUGGAGGGGGAGGAGGG
This is a long non-coding RNA of Mobula hypostoma (lesser devil ray), 819 nucleotides long. RefSeq lists it as uncharacterized. The transcript has 3 exons. The record is from RefSeq and is a predicted model, not a curated record. NCBI's taxonomy places the organism in Eukaryota, Metazoa, Chordata, Chondrichthyes, Myliobatiformes, Myliobatidae.